Balaenoptera ricei (Rice's whale) is the source of this 7711-nucleotide long non-coding RNA. RefSeq lists it as uncharacterized. The transcript is spliced from 8 exons. The record is from RefSeq and is a predicted model, not a curated record. Lineage: Eukaryota; Metazoa; Chordata; Mammalia; Artiodactyla; Balaenopteridae.
GAGGGGCGGGCUGGCUGCCGAGUGACAGAGACGGGGCUGCAGGAGGGGCUUCUGGCCACAGGAAUUAGGGUUCUCGGGAGCGGGGAGAGAUCCGGGGUCCAGCCCUUCCCACACUGGGAGGACCACCUCUGCCUCAGGUAGGGACACCUUUCCUUCAUGGUGCCAUGUGAGUUUUGUGCCUGAGUUUGAAACGUGAACUUUGGAGGAAUUGAUACAGAAUCAUUGUGCAGUUUUGCUCGUGGGGAAGUGACACCAUUUGCUUUUUCCUUGAAAGUCUCCUGGUCAGGAUGUUGAUUAAAAAAAAUAUGGCGCCAUGGAUCCUGAUGGGUGUCAUCUCUCGAUGCUGAAAGUAUAUUUUAAAACGAACCAAAGGUAUCAUCUACUGAUGACCCAAAUUUCCUUUCAAGAAUUAACAAAUCCCUCUCGUUUUUUUUUUUCCCCUAGGAACUCUAUGCAUCUGUAGUUAAUCUAAGAAUUAACAUUUAGCAAAUUACUGCCUCAGUGCCUUAAAUGAGGUAUGUGCCUGGUGGCUCUGUUGAUUAGAGCCCUGUGCUAAUGAGGUCACGAGUUCAGUCCCCAGGAGGGCUGGUUCGCUUCUCCAUGGUUCCCCUCCGGACCCUGGCCAUGCCUCCAGAGGAACACUGGUCACAAGUGGCCUUCUGGGGAAGAAUCAACACAAAUUCUUCACGAUUUGUGGGAAAAGACAGCUCAAAGCAGAUGCCUUGAGUUAACCUGGAAUAUGGCAGUGAUCCCAUGGGGUGGCUAAAUGGUACCCUAGGAGGCUGCAAAGACGUACUACAGACUGUGCCAGUGCUACGCUUCCUGGGGUGGCUUCCGUGCUGGGAAAGCUGGCUUUGAUGCGUGUGUGGGACUCUGUCCUGCAAGGAAAGGGGAGUGUUUUCUAGAAACAGUGAGAGGCGGGAUGCCUAUUCAAGAGGCAGAGUCAGGGGGAAGCUUUAGGGGAAUUUGGUUGCAUUUUCAUUGAUCGCUUAUUCAAAAGAUGGAUCAUUUGGGGACUGCCAAAUAGUGUCUGUCGUCAUGCACCCCCUGGGACCACUUUUCCUGUGGUCAGGCCACGCCACCGACUUGCCUCAAGCUGGCAGUAGACCCAGGAGUGAAGAGCUUUCAGGGCGUGGGGGAUUCUCACACUCACGCAUUCUCUCCAUUUUUCACUCCCAGAAACCACUUUUUCAGGUCCAGGUUCAGUUCUGAAGCUAAAUCUCAGCCAAGCAUGACUGGGUGCAUUGGUAUCCUCUGAGGUCGUUUUUUUGAGUUUAGGGAAGGAUAAUGCCUAGCGACCUCCAGCUGUGCCUGGUGACAUUCCUGGUUGAAACCAGCACCCUCGCUGGCUUCCUCCUAUUUACCAAGAAUACAUUCUCCACCUCUCUUUUAAAAAAUUUUUUUUAAAAAUAAUUUUGAUCGCUAGGAGGAUGCUUUGUAUAUAGUAGGAGUUCCGUAAAUAUUUGUCAAAUGAAUGCGUGAGUGGAUGAAAGAAUCAAAUGUAGAAUUGGUCCCAUUUAGAAAAAGACAGUGUUUUUAAUUUUAUCAUUUUAUUGCUUUUCUCUUUACAAAAUUCUAUGUGGUUAUUAUAAAUAAUUUAGAAAAUAGAGAUGAGCAGAACUUAAGAAAAUAAAAAUCACCCGUAAUGCCAUCACUUGGAGAUAGCCUUUCUUGACAUUUUGGGGUGUGUUAUAUUUAUAUCUAUAUGCAUAUCUAUUAUAUAUAUGGGACUCAGACAAUGUGUGAUUUUUUAAAACUUAUAUCCAGAAUCUUUGCAUGAUAUUAUAUAUUCUUCUGUGUUAUUAUUUUAAUUUUUUCAGAGCAUUUUAUUCUAUGACUUGACUUCAACUUAGUCGCAUAUUAAAACAUCCCUGUAGCUUAAACUUUCUACAUAGCUUUAUUUCCUUGGGAUAAAUUCCUAUAAGAAGAAUUGCAUGGUUCCAUGGUUUUCUAAUUCACUGUAUGUUGGCAAGUUAUCGGUUAGAGCAGCGCCACCAAUACCUACUCCUACCUGCGAUCGCUUAGUGUCCGGCCACACUCCUCCUUUGUUGAACAGUGUGUUGUCAUUCUUAUAUUUGCUAGUCCAUAGGCAAAAAGUAUAUCCAAGUUCUUCUACUUUGUAUUUCUUUUUUUAAAAUUUAUUUUUAUUUUUUGUUUUUUUUUUUACUCUAUUGCACUCUUUUAUAUUUAAAAAAUUAAUUAACAAUUUUAUUUUUUAUUUUUUGGCUGCAUUGGGUCUUCGUUGCUACGCGUCGGCUUUCUCUAGUUGCGGCGAGCAGGGGCUACUCUUCGUUGCGGUGCGCGGGCUUCUCAUUGUGGUGGCUUCUCUUGCUGUGGAGCACAGGCUCUAGGUGCAUGGGCUUCAGUAGUUGCAGCAUGCGGGCUCAGUAGUUGCAGCACACGGGCCCUAGAGCAUGCGGGCUUCAGUAGUUGUGGUGCACUGGCUCAGUAAUUGUGGCUCAUGGGCUCUAGAGCGCAGGCUCAGUAGUUGUGGCGCACGGGCUUAGUUGCUCCACAGCAUGUGGGAUCUUCCUGGACCAGGGAUCAAACCUGUGUCCCCUGCAUUGGCAGGCGGAUUCUUAACCACUGUGCCACCAGGGAAGUCCCUAAUUUUUUUUUUUUUACAGUAGGUCCUUGUUGGUUAUCUAUUUUAAAUAUAGCAGUGUGUACAUGUCAAUCCCAACUCCCAUAGUGAAACUUAGUAUUUUUUCAUGUGGCCAUUUUAACAUCUUCUUUGCAAAUUGCCUGUUAAUGUUUUUGAACACCCACAUAUUUGGGGGGGCCAAUAUACGUACCCCUCUCUACUUCAUGGACUAUUGUAAGAAUUAGUUGAAAUAACCUAUCUGAAUAUGUUUGAAACUGACACAGCAAUACACAAAUGUGUUGACCACGUUUAUGACCUGUAGGGUGAGGGUCAGAAGGAAUGGCCAUCUGGAGACAAACGGGCUGAGUCAGUGGUACCCAUUGAAGGCUUGGGCAGCUCUGCCUGACGACGUAUGGGGAGAGGCACCUGUGAGAAAGGGAAAGGGGCCUUGACCUAGAGACUUGUUACUGAGAGAAGGCCACCGGAAAUAGACAAGGUCAGUGGCAGUACAGGGGCUGGCAGCUCGAAAUGUUGUUUCAGUUGUUACAACUAGUAUAUGGUACUUCUCUAAUUUGAAAAUGAUCCGAUAAAGAAAAAAACAAUUAAGACACUCCACCCUGCAGCAGGGUCGGCAAUUCAUGAGGCAACAGGAGCUGAGUUCUGGGCUGUCAUGGGUGCCCGUGCUGACUUGGACAGAGCAGCCCCAGGGAGCCCCUGAGAGUCAUACCUGGACCCUGCAGGGCGCCAAGCUCAAGGCCAUCUCGCACUCAGAUGAUGGGGAAGUCGUGCCUCCUUGGCAAGCAGGACCCUGUGAACAGGUAAGACAUUUCCCUGGCUGGAAGUAAACACAGGCCGUCCUCCCAGAUCCAGUGUGCACCACUGCCUGGCAGGGAGAAGGCAGGGCUUAAGUGCAGUGGGAAGAACUUGAGUUUGUGCAGGAAGAGAAAUGAGAGCUUUUCUUCUUCAGUUCAAGGGCUGCCACUGCAGCCGAUGAUACAAAGUUAUCUGACUGGGGUUUUAUGUUAUUUUACACCAGGUAAAGCUGCUUUGAGGCAACACUGUUUCCUGAGACAGGGACUGUGCUAGGGCCUGGGGACAAAGUUGGGGACAGACUGUGAUGAUCUCUGGCUUUCCGGAGUCUCAGCUGGGUUGGGGACAUGGACGGUACACGAGGGACCAAGCAAACAGGGAGAGUGUGGUCCAUGGCAAUCAUGCUCCAAAGGAAACGGAAAUGGGCAAGGAUCAGGGCUGGGCCAUUUGGGAUUUGGAGGCAAUGCAAGAUCUUUCUGGGGAGAGCACAUUUAAACCGAAUUAAGAGUGAGGAGACGGGCCAGCAGGUGAAGAAAGGCAGACCCAGGAGGGAGGAGGCGUCUCAGCCGUUCCACAGGGUGACAGCAGAGCCGUGAGCUGGUCAGGAUGAGGUUUGAGAGGCCAGCAGGCAUCAGAUCACACCUGGCCUCAUUCGUGCUUCAUGUUUAGAAGUUUGAUUUUACCCUAAGCGCAAAGGCAAGGUAGAGUGUGCUUAGAAAUCCAACAUCAUAACGCCUUGCGGAAGCCUCAACUCAGCGUGUGUAAAGAUUUGUUGAGUGAGCUCAAAAUAAAUAAACAAAUUGAUGUUCUGUGCUUGGAAAACAUCCUGUUUUAUUUUAUCCUAUUUUUAAACUUUGGUUUUGGCUUUUAUUACAUGAAAAAUCACUCCCAUUUAGAUUUAUUUUUGUUAAAAGACCAAGCUUACAGGGAUGAGAAUUAAAAGUCUGAUGUUGAGAAACGUGCCUGAAAUGCAAGGAAAGGUCGAUAAGACAGUGUCUCCACAGCCUGGAUCGUGUGGAGUGCUUUCAGAAACCAUCACCCGUUGUGCAGGUGAGGCGGCAGCUCAGAGACGUGAACAAAGGCUUGGCAAGGCCACAUCAUUGUGUGAGGUCCCGGGAACGUGUGUCUCUGCUCUGGUGAACUUUCCGUGAGCCCAGGGCAAAUGGUGGCCACCAUGGCCUCAUGGAGUUGCUUGGGCUCCUUUCUGUGGCCUCUGGGGCUCUUGCUGUAGGAGUUUGUGAAAACAGGAAGGAUAUGGGAUGGUCAUGGGGGUUCUCGUUACUCCGUGGUGCACUGGGGGCCCGUGUCCGCUCAUCAGGUAGACUAGAGACUCGGCCCCUAACCUCCCUCUCUGACCACCAAGCGUCCACCUCUGAGACCUAAUCAGGGCUCCCACAUCUUGAGGUUGGGGAGACGCCCAAGGAGAUCAGUGGAAUUCCACCUUUCUCCUCCCAUCCCAACACUUAAAAAUAUGGGUUGUGAUGAUUUGGGACGUGCCACCUCUCUACACAUUGGCAUCUGGGUCCUCUGUCCUCCUGGAGCCCUUGCCGGUCCUCCUCAUCCUUCUUGAACUUGUCUCCAAGGAAGUCUGCAGUGAUCACUAACAUCACCCCUAUUAUCUGAGGUCCACUGAGGUGCGUCAGGGUUUUGGGAUGCUCACGUGGCACUCAACCCAGCUACUGUAGAUCUGCAGCCACCUUGGGUUUCGCCUUUCCUGGCAGGAUCCCACUGGGAACUCUUGGGGGCAAAACAUUUCUUUUGCAAUUUAAUCGUCAGCAGGUGGGAUACAGUAUUCCCUUCCUGAGCUUGAAUUGAAGGAACCCAUAAUCUUCGAGUUCCAGCUCUUGAGAAGAAUGGCAGCUGCUGGAAGAUGUGAACUUGACAUUUGAAAUUGGCGGACACCUGGGAGUUAGUGUGAGGUAGAAAAACAAACAAGGGCUGUGGGGUUGGGUAGAUGUAGGUUCCAGACCAGCUCUGCACUUCCUGUCAUGCGGCUCUGGAGUAACAACUUGUAUGGUCUCUGUGAGGCCCAUUUUUCCAUCUUUAGAAUGGGGAUAGUAUAGUCUACUGCAUAAUAUUUCGGUGAGGAUGAAAAGAAGAGAAUGAAAAUAUCUGUCAUACAAGAGAUGCUCAAGAGACAUUAGCUCUUAUGUUCCUUUACCCUCAAUAAUGUCAUGACUCCUUCCAAAAACAGAACAUCCUUCAGAAUAGAACCCUACCCAUUUUUUGGCUGAUGGGACAUCCAAAAGGACAUAGGUGCCUUUGUUUGGUCUGUGGUAAGUUGACUUUGCACUUUAAAAGGGAAAAAAGGGAAAUGUGUAGUCCCUCAAACAAUGACCCCUUUUAAAGCCUACGUUGGACUCCGAUUUCAAAGAAUAUUCUUAUUAACAUAGUUCCUUAUAAAUGGAGUGCCACUCAUCAAAUAUUUAUAAAGAGUAGCCUGAGAAGCCAGUGUAGCGCUUGGCAAGCCUGGGGACAUUUCCCACAUGCUCUGUGGGAUGGCGUAGGUAGGGGACACCCUUUAAUUUUGUGACAUGAUUUGGGGGCUCCAGCGCAAGCUGGACUUGGCAUGGUUUCUCCCAGUUCAGGGCCCGUUCAGGCCUCGCAGGCAACUCCCUUUGAAGUCCACGGGAGCUCUUUGAAUGGAAAACAUACACAACGGGGUGCUGAUGCAAAUAGGAAUCAGGCCUGAUGUACGUGGGGAAUAAAGGUGCUUCUCCACCCAAAUAUUAGCUCUUUAACCAGGAAACUAUGGUUUGAUCAUUAAAUAAAAGAGCCUCCUCCCUGCCCCCAAAACCCCACAAUCUACCACCAGAGCUCCACCAUCCAUUUGCUCAGAAAAUGAUAAACCUGCUAGUUACCUGAGAGUUUUAAUUAAGCAACAGAUACAGACAGUGCAGGGCUGGUUUUGCUUUAAACAUAUCAAUAAAAUAAGCAUUCUCAAUUCCAGGGCAACUUGUUCAAUGAUAAAAAAAACGAAGCAUCACUAUCUUUUGAAAUAUCACUCAUCAAGUGUGAUCAUUUAGAAAAAUAUCUCUAUUAGAGACAGUUAGAGAUGUUUUUUGGUUGAAAAUGCAGUCGCCGAUGGAGUGCAAAGCUGCAAUUUGUAGACAGCAGGGGACAUCAUGUAAAUGGAAUCACAUGGUAGCUGUUCUUUUGUGUCUGGCUUCACUCUUUCAACACUAUGUUUGUGAGCUGUAUCUAUGUUGUUGGGUGCCUUCAGUGGGUUGGAUGGUGCCCACCGCAGUGGUGAGGGUGAUCUUCUUUACUCCAUCCACCCAUCCAAAUGCUGAUCUCCUCCAGAAAUGCCCUCACAGACAUGCCCAGAAAUAAUGUUUCACCAGCUACCUGGGCAUUCCUUAGCCCAGUCGAGCUGACAUGUAAAAUCAACCGUCACAAAUAACUGCAUUUGAAGGGUAAAAGCCCCAUGUCUCCUCGGCCAGUGGGUGUUUAUCAGAGGACAGUGGAAAAGAGGGACAAAAAUGCCUGGAUAUAACAUUAAGAGUUGGCAGGACCCGACCUCUAAAAGGAAGUGUUAAAACAAUGUUUUUGACAUCAAGGCUUUUCUCAAAGUUGAUAAAGGAGAGCUUGUGGAAAAAGCUCAUGUGCUGUCUCUUCAGUGGAGAGUUCAAUCCAGGAAUAAGAUGUGAUUAAGGAUCUUGAGAUGGAGGGUUACCUUGGAUUAUCUGGGCAAAGCACUGCCCGUUUCUUCAACUCUGGAGCUGUGGAGGAGUAUUUUUUUGGGACUGGAGGCCACACCCAUCCCUUCUCUGGGCGUGUCAUCUCCCUCUGUCUCAUGGGGAAACUCACACCAUGCACUGGAGCUUCAGCAGGAAGCACUGAUUUGGCUUCUGUUCCUGGUCCAAUCCAAGUCCCAGCAUCGCGGCGAGAGGAAGAGCCGUUGCCAUGGACUAAAAGGCCAGUGAGGGCGGACAUCCCCUCCACCACCUCUCACGGACGGAGCGGCCCCGCAAGGCAGACGUCACAGCCUUCAGUUUGCAGUUCUAACAGUUAACCUGUUGAUAAUGGUGAACAUCACCUUCUUCCUCAUGGGUGUCACACCAGCAGAUGCCCUCACAGCCCCGCCAGGAAAGGGUUCUCACGACAGCUGCUUUCACUCUUCUGCUCAGAAGGGAUGCACUUCAGUGAACUCCCCCCGCCCCCAGGCGUUAUGCUGAAAUCAUAUUUCCAGGGGGCAGAGGUGAGUGCCGUCUACCUAUCUGAUUAAACUGCCCGUUGUUUUAAAUCUAUUUUCACAGAGACUUACGUCCUCCAGGACACAGGCAGUGACACAGCACAUUAAAAAUUAUAACUGUA